RNAcentral lists this long non-coding RNA (1572 nucleotides) under Homo sapiens (human). RNAcentral's name for it is "HSALNT0305221". Lineage: Eukaryota; Metazoa; Chordata; Mammalia; Primates; Hominidae. The record is from RNAcentral.
CAAUGAUGAUGAAAUUAGAAAGGAAGACAAGAACAACAAGGUUGUGGAAUUCAGAAGCCAUAUAGACAAGAGACCACUAGAGAUUAGAAAAUUGUUCUCUGGGGUAUCUGACCACUUCCAGAGGAAAGACAUAAAGAUGCUGAUGUCAAGAAUGACCCAACUAAACGGCCCAGCCAGAUGACCCAGUUGAAGCUGGUGGACAAGAAGUUUCAUUCAUGGAAUCAGAACUUCCAAUAAGCUGGGAAAACGGCAAUGGAUUAAUAACAAGAAAUUAAUGGUGAAGUGGUGACGAAAAUUCUACAUUGCUUAGAAAGCAAAUAGUGAAAUGAACAUUUACAUUCUGGCAACCUCAGAAGUACAACGAACAGAGGACACCAGCCAGGUAGGGCAAAGGCCUGUGCGCCCCCUUUUGCUGUUACAUGUUUAUCAGAUGCGUGCUCUGUUUCUGUUGUAUUACAUUACUUUUCUCUUCAAUGUCUACUGAGGAAGAACAAGUAGCUCCUCAGGCAAGUCAACUGUUAACUCUGCAGUUUUUAUUUAAUCUCCCAGGAAUGUAACCCUUAACUUUAAAGAAUGUAGUGACCAUAAAACUUAUAAGGCAUGUUUCUUAAGGAAAUUGUACCUGUUUAUUUAAUCUAUCAGAUAUGAAUGUUAUAGAAAAUUAAAUUUGUCCACUUAAGCUGUAGAUGAACUUUUCACCUUUCUGAUCAGAAAUUCACCAUUUUAUAGUAUAGGUUCUGUUAUUAAUCAGAAUAUUUCAUUUAGACUCUUUCUAUCCAACUUUUUCUUAGAGGCUAUUCAAAAUAAAGGUGCUUCUAACAGUUUCAUAUCGAAAUACGAUGCAAAGCCUUGCUCUUCCAUGGUAUCCUUUGAGUGAGCCAAACUUAUUUAGCCAUUCCCCUAUAGUUAAAUAGCUAGGAUGUUUCCAACAUCUCACCUUUAAAACAAUAGUGCUAUGAAUGUCAUAAAUGUUUGUAUAUGUAAAUAUGUAGGAUAAAUCCCUAUCAGUAGAAUUUCAAAAGGUAUACGCAAUCAGUAUUUUCAUACAUAUUUAAAAUUUUCCAUCCAUACAAAGGUUGCUAACAUAUUUAUUUAAAAUUUUAAAAAUAAUUUUAUAUGCCUCUUGUAACCAGUAAUAGGAUGCAAAGUUUUUGUUUUAAGGUAACAUUGCUCCUCUUCCCCCAUUGUCUCUGUCAUCUAUAGUACUCCCUAAGGUAGUUCAUGUUAUUGCAAGGGUGUGUAUCAUCCCAAACAUAUUGCUUCCACAUACAUAUAUCAGCAUACAUAUAUAUAUAUGUAUAGCAUAUAUAUAUAUGAGCACAUAUUAAUAUAUGCCCAUGCACAUACAAGCAUGUUUUUGUUAAUUUUUACUGAAAUGGAAUCAUGCUACAUACUUAUGAACAAAUUGCUUCUUUCACCUUAUAUCACUUAUAAUUGUUAUUCUACAAAUCAGUACAUAUAAAAAAUACAUAUUUACAUAUGUAAUACUCUAUCUGUUAUAAUUUUCUGCAUGCACAUGUAUGCAUAUACAUAUAUUCAUAAACAUAAAAAUCUAAACGGGAUUUUUUUGGG